This 484-nucleotide ribosomal RNA is filed under the name uncultured bacterium. RNAcentral describes it as "partial 16S ribosomal RNA". It matches the Rfam family "Bacterial small subunit ribosomal RNA", at positions 30 to 507 of the family's 1533-position model. The record is from RNAcentral.
AUUGAACGCUGGCGGCAGGCCUAACACAUGCAAGUCGAGCGGAUGAAGGGAGCUUGCUCCUGGAUUCAGCGGCGGACGGGUGAGUAAUGCCUAGGAAUCUGCCUGGUAGUGGGGGAUAACGUCCGGACACGGGCGCUAAUACCGCAUACGUCCUGAGGGAGAAAGUGGGGGAUCUUCGGACCUCACGCUAUCAGAUGAGCCUAGGUCGGAUUAGCUAGUUGGUGGGGUAAAGGCCUACCAAGGCGACGAUCCGUAACUGGUCUGAGAGGAUGAUCAGUCACACUGGAACUGAGACACGGUCCAGACUCCUACGGGAGGCAGCAGUGGGGAAUAUUGGACAAUGGGCGAAAGCCUGAUCCAGCCAUGCCGCGUGUGUGAAGAAGGUCUCCGGAUUGUAAAGCACUUUAAGUUGGGAGGAAGGGCAGUAAGUUAAUACCUUGCUGUUUUGACGUUACCAACAGAAUAAGCACCGGCUAACUUCGUG